AUUGAACGCUGGCGGCAGGCUUAACACAUGCAAGUCGAGCGGGGGGAGGUAGCUUGCUACCGGACCUAGCGGCGGACGGGUGAGUAAUGCUUAGGAAUCUGCCUAUUAGUGGGGGACAACAUCUCGAAAGGGAUGCUAAUACCGCAUACGUCCUACGGGAGAAAGCAGGGGAUCUUCGGACCUUGCGCUAAUAGCUGAGCCUAAGUCGGAUGAGCUAGUUGGUGGGGUAAAGGCCUACCAAGGCGACGAUCUGUAGCGGGUCUGAGAGGAUGAUCCGCCACACUGGGACUGAGACACGGCCCAGACUCCUACGGGAGGCAGCAGUGGGGAAUAUUGGACAAUGGGGGGAACCCUGAUCCAGCCAUGCCGCGUGUGUGAAGAAGGCCUUAUGGUUGUAAAGCACUUUAAGCGAGGAGGAGGCUACUUUAGUUAAUACCUAGAGAUAGUGGACGUUACUCGCAGAAUAAGCACCGGCUAACUCUGUGCCAGCCGCCGCAGUAA
RNAcentral lists this ribosomal RNA (501 nucleotides) under uncultured bacterium. RNAcentral's name for it is "partial 16S ribosomal RNA". It matches the Rfam family "Bacterial small subunit ribosomal RNA", at positions 30 to 523 of the family's 1533-position model. The record is from RNAcentral.